RNAcentral lists this long non-coding RNA (1138 nucleotides) under Cyanistes caeruleus (blue tit). RNAcentral's name for it is "lncRNA (ENSCCEG00000007893.1)". The record is from RNAcentral. Lineage: Eukaryota; Metazoa; Chordata; Aves; Passeriformes; Paridae.
UUGCACGGAUGGUGGUUAUGAAAUCCAAAGCUGCUGGGUCGCUGUACUUGUCCUACCCCAGGCCGUGCUGCCAGCACACCCUGGCACACAGCGACCUGCGCUACCUUGUGGUUAUCCAAGUGUGGCCAUGACCUGUGGCUCUCCCAAAAUGUCUCAGGCCAAGUGACUCCCUCCCCCACCAUCUGCACUCACUGCCACGCACGCAAGCACACACGCAGCGCACAGCCUUUAGCACCCAUAGCAUGUGUGGCCCUCGACAGGUCACUUGAGGGCAGUUGCAGUCCCAUGUCUUGGAAACAGGAUGUGCUUCUCUGCCCAAGCUGCUCCGCAUGGCCCUCUCACAGCCCCUGCCAUGAUUAAGUCCUUUCCACUGGGAAGCGAUACCUGCAUUUGAUUCUUGAAUUUUGCAAUAUGCUUAAGUGCGGUGGUGGUGACACUGGGCUUGAAGCCAUCAGCUCAUAUUUACUUGUGAUCUAAGACAGUGAUUUCUGUUCAGACCCCAAAGGGCAAGCUGCUAUGUGAUUUAAAGUCAUGCUACCAGCAGGAGCAUAUGACCUCAUGGUAUGAAAAAGCAGGAGGAGAUUAGCAAAGAAGUUUCUAAGGCCCCCUCCUUUGCUUUCUCUACCCCCUACCUCGCCUUGGAUUUUUCUGCCUUUUCGAAGAGAGGGAGCGAGGGAGAGUGGAAGGACUCAGUGAGGAAGGAGUUAAGGGAAUGCUCACUGGGGAUUAUAAAACAGCCAGGCACUUGGAAACAGUUAAGAAGAGAGAAACAGAUCUGCCAGGAGGGAGUGUGGCACUGGAGCCGGUGGUUUAUUUUCAUGCCUCCCUACACAGCAAUGCAGACGGCUCUCCUACAAUGGGGACGGAGGAAUUUGUGAAUCUCCCUGCAAAUAAUCAGGGGAAGGAUCAGUUUAUGCCAAUGUAAGAUUCACUACCUCUGAGUAUUGUCCAUCUGCCUGUCCUAUAUCCAGCUUAUGACCAGUGAUGCCUGCAGUGCCUGACACUUGCUUUCUCUUUCCGAGAGAACAGGAGGAAAGGUGGGGCUUAUGCUCUAAGCAAAAGUCCCUGUUUGGAAUUGAGUAACAAGACUUUGUUAUGCGUUAAAGUUAAAAAUAAAUUGAUCUUGUUUAUCUGAACA